UGCUAUGUAGGGUGCGGCUGCGCUGGUAAUAUGAGGGGGGCAAUGGUUAAGCGUAAUGAUUGUGCGUAAAGGGGGCGUAGGCUGCCGUGCAAGUGGAAGGUGAAAUCCCUCGUCUUAACCGAUGAACUGCCCUCCAAACUGCUUGGCUUGAGUCCGGGAGAGGUGAGUGGAAUUCCCAGUGUAGCGGUUAAAUGCGUAGAUAUUGGGAGGAACACCAGUGGCGAAGGCGGCUCACUGGACCGGAACUGACGCUGAGGCGCGAAAGCGUGGGGAGCAAACGGGAUUAGAUACCCGAGUAGUC
RNAcentral lists this ribosomal RNA (301 nucleotides) under uncultured Pyrobaculum sp. Its description in RNAcentral is "bacterial SSU rRNA". It matches the Rfam family "Bacterial small subunit ribosomal RNA", at positions 495 to 795 of the family's 1533-position model. The record is from RNAcentral. Lineage: Archaea; Thermoproteati; Thermoproteota; Thermoprotei; Thermoproteales; Thermoproteaceae.